This 508-nucleotide ribosomal RNA is filed under the name Glomus sp. UY1225. RNAcentral's name for it is "SSU rRNA". It matches the Rfam family "Eukaryotic small subunit ribosomal RNA", at positions 569 to 1078 of the family's 1831-position model. The record is from RNAcentral. Lineage: Eukaryota; Fungi; Glomeromycota; Glomeromycetes; Glomerales; Glomeraceae.
AGCAGCCGCGGUAAUUCCAGCUCCAAUAGCGUAUAUUAAAGUUGUUGCAGUUAAAAAGCUCGUAGUUGAAUUUCGGGGUCAGUAGGUCGGUCGUGCCACUGGUAUGAACUGGUUUUACUGAUUCCUCCCUCUUGAAGAACUGUAAUGCCAUUAAUUUGGUGUUGCAGGGAAUCAGGACUGUUACUUUGAAAAAAUUAGAGUGUUUAAAGCAGGCUUUAGCUUGAAUACAUUAGCAUGGAAUAAUGAAAUAGGACGUUUGAUCCUAUUUUGUUGGUUUCUAGGAUUGACGUAAUGAUUAAUAGGGAUAGUUGGGGGCAUUAGUAUUCAAUUGUCAGAGGUGAAAUUCUUGGAUUUAUUGAAGACUAACUACUGCGAAAGCAUUUGCCAAGGAUGUUUUCAUUAAUCAAGAACGAAAGUUAGGGGAUCGAAGACGAUCAGAUACCGUCGUAGUCUUAACCAUAAAUUAUGCCGACUAGGGAUCGGAUGAUGUUAAUUUUUUAAUGACUCA